Molecule: non-coding RNA, 25 nt
Filed under: Mus musculus (house mouse)
Lineage: Eukaryota; Metazoa; Chordata; Mammalia; Rodentia; Muridae
Source: RNAcentral
UAGACAUCUUGUAGCCACAGUGUCU